UACAGAGGGGGCAAGCGUUGUUCGGAAUUACUGGGCGUAAAGCGCGUGUAGGCGGUCCGGUAAGUCCGCUGUGAAAGUCGAGGGCUCAACCCUCGAAUGCCGGUGGAUACUGUCGGGCUUGAGUACGGGAGAGGCGAGUGGAAUUCCUGGUGUAGCGGUGAAAUGCGCAGAUAUCAGGAGGAACACCGAUUGCGAAGGCAGCUCGCUGGAACGUUACUGACGCUGAGACGCGAAAGCGUGGGGAGCAAACAGG
This 253-nucleotide ribosomal RNA is filed under the name uncultured bacterium. Its description in RNAcentral is "partial 16S ribosomal RNA". It matches the Rfam family "Bacterial small subunit ribosomal RNA", at positions 524 to 776 of the family's 1533-position model. The record is from RNAcentral.